RNAcentral lists this ribosomal RNA (253 nucleotides) under uncultured bacterium. RNAcentral describes it as "partial 16S ribosomal RNA". It matches the Rfam family "Bacterial small subunit ribosomal RNA", at positions 524 to 776 of the family's 1533-position model. The record is from RNAcentral.
UACGAGGGGGGCUAGCGUUGUUCGGAUUUACUGGGCGUAAAGCGCGUGUAGGCGGCUCGUUAAGUCGGGGGUGAAAUCCUGGAGCUCAACUCCAGAACUGCCUUCGAUACUGGCGAUCUUGAGUCCGGAAGAGGUGAGUGGAACUCCUAGUGUAGAGGUGGAAUUCGUAGAUAUUAGGAAGAACACCAGUGGCGAAGGCGGCUCACUGGUCCGGUACUGACGCUGAGGUGCGAAAGCGUGGGGAGCAAACAGG